GACGAACGCUUGCGGCGUGCCUAAGAAAUGCAAGUCGAGCGGGGGUAGCAAUACCCUAGCGGCGAACGGUCGCGUAACACGUAAGCAACCUGCCUCAAAGACCGGGACAACAUACCGAAAGGUGUGCUAAUACCGGAUGUGGCCGUCUGGGGACAUCCCUGGGCGAUUAAAUCAGGAAACUGGCUUUGAGAGGGGCUUGCGUCCUAUCAGCUAGUUGGUGGGGUAACGGCCUACCAAGGCGACGACGGGUAGCUGGUCUGAGAGGACGAUCAGCCGG
Molecule: ribosomal RNA, 277 nt
Filed under: uncultured bacterium
Lineage: Bacteria
Description: partial 16S ribosomal RNA
Rfam family: Bacterial small subunit ribosomal RNA
Source: RNAcentral